AUGCUGAGAUAUGAUCUCGAGGAUCAGCUCUCGACCAUCUACACGGAUGAAGAGGCAUACUGGAGGCUACGCGGCACCCAGAGGUGGGUGCUACGUGGUGAUGCUAAUAAGGCUUACUUCCAGGCCAUUGCCAAUGGGCGGCGGUGACGGAACUCCAUCCAUUGCUUGUGGGAUGGAGAUACCCUUCUCGUCCACCCCUCGGACAUCCGAGUCCAUGUAUAUGGCUUUUACAAAGCCCUAUUCUCCCCCACCCCUCGGAGUGGGGCUGCACUGGCCCCCGACACUUGGUCGGCUAACUAG
This 300-nucleotide ribosomal RNA is filed under the name Triticum aestivum (bread wheat). Its description in RNAcentral is "partial small subunit ribosomal RNA". The record is from RNAcentral. Lineage: Eukaryota; Viridiplantae; Streptophyta; Magnoliopsida; Poales; Poaceae.